RNAcentral lists this RNase P RNA (348 nucleotides) under Candidatus Pelagibacter sp. RNAcentral describes it as "RNase P RNA component class A". It matches the Rfam family "Bacterial RNase P class A". From Rfam's summary of the family: Ribonuclease P (RNase P) is a ubiquitous endoribonuclease, found in archaea, bacteria and eukarya as well as chloroplasts and mitochondria. Lineage: Bacteria; Pseudomonadati; Pseudomonadota; Alphaproteobacteria; Candidatus Pelagibacterales; Candidatus Pelagibacteraceae. The record is from RNAcentral.
CUAGUUGGUUGAAUGAUAACUCAAAGAUUUGAGAGGAAAGUCUGGGCUCCAUAGGCAAAAGUACCAGGUAACACCUGGCAGGAGUAAUCCUAGGGAUAGUGCCACAGAAAAUAAACCGCCUUAUCAAGGCAAGGGUGAAACGGUGAGGUAAGAGCUUACCGCCUUUUUAGUAAUAAGAAGGGCAUGGAAAACCCUACUUGGAGCAAGACCAAAUAGGGAUAGCGCGAUCGAACAUCAAACAUCCUAAGUUAGCUAUCCGGGUUGGUUGCUAGAACUGGUUAGAAAUAAUCAGUCAAGAUAAAUUAUCAUUUUAAAUGACAGAACCCAGCUUACAGAUCGACUAGCAUU